Molecule: long non-coding RNA, 1314 nt
Organism: Oreochromis aureus
Lineage: Eukaryota; Metazoa; Chordata; Actinopteri; Cichliformes; Cichlidae
Source: Ensembl
UGUUUUCUUUGUCUUUAUAUUUCAGCUUUUAUUUCUCAGAAACAAUGUCUUUGUUUGUUUGACAGUUUGUCAGUCGAGAGAAUAUUAUGUACUCUCUUUAUUGGCUUGGCACAACUUAGCAGCAAGCCCAGAAUGAAAAACAGGUAGAGAGAAAAUUUAGAAGAGAGAAUAGACAGAGCAGGAGAGACAUGGCUGGGAAAUCACAAUCAAACCGUGAAUUAGAGUUUUCUUUAUUUGUUCAGUUUGUUCUCAGGUAGAGGCAAUAUGCACUCUUUAUUGCUUUAAUGGCUUGGCAUUUUUCAGCAGCAAGCCAAGAGUGAAAAACAGGUAGAGAGAAAAUUUAGAAGAGAGAAUAGACAGAGCAGGAGAGACACGGCUGGGAAAUGACAAUCAAACCGUGAAUUAGAGUUUUCUUUAUUUGUUCAGUUUGUUCUCAGGUAGAGGCAAUAUGCACUCUUUAUUGCUUUAAUGGCUUGGCAUUUUUCAGCAGCAAGCCAAGAGUGAAAAACAGGUAGAGAGAAAAUUUAGCAGAGAGAACAGGCAGAGCAGGAGAGACACGGCUUGGAAAUCAAACCGCAGAGUUUUCUUUGUUCAGUUUGUUCAAAGGUUGAGGCAAAAUAUGCACUCUUUAUUGCUUUAUUGGCUUGUGCAUUUCUCAGCAGCAAGCCAAAGAGUGAAAAACAGGUAGAGAGAAAAUUUAGCAGAGAGAACAGAGAGAGCAGGAAAGACACGGUUUUGAAAUCAAACCGUAGAGUUUUCUUUGUUUGUUCAGUUUGUUCAAAGGUUGAGGCAAAAUAUGCACUCUUUAUUGCUUUAUUGGCUUGUGCAUUUCUCAGCAGCAAGCCAAAGAGUGAAAAACAGGUAGAGAGAAAAUUUAGCAGAGAGAACAGACAGAGCAGGAGAGACACGGUUUUGAAAUCAAACCGCAAUAAGAUUCUUGGUUUGGCAAAAUUUCUCACAAACCACAGGGUGAAAUACAGAUGGAAAGAAGGCAGAGACAACAGGUGGAGCAGGACAGAGGAUAGAGGGGAUGGGGGGUUGGGAUGUGACAGAGAAGACUGGAGAUCUGGUCCUUGUUCUUCUGCACACUGUGAACAAAAAAGAAGAAAAAAAUAAUAAUUUUAUUAAAAUUAUAUCACAUGGUAAUUGUAUGAACUAAUUGUGACUACUGAAAAAGGACAAAACAAAUAUUGAAGCUAAACUGUUGUUGGCUGCCAUGUGCAAAAAGUUGCAUAAUUGGGCACUUUUUAAAAGAAUAUUUAUUUAAAUUCAGCAAUAAUAUUUUUAAUACAAAUAUGAUUGAGUGAAUCAUUA